AAACUCACGAAGUGUCUGGCGAAUGGGCCAAAUCACAGAGAGACUACUUCUCUCGGUGUCUUUAUUUCUUGUAAUUUAAACUGUUCAACUGUGGAUUUGUAUUUUGGUGAGGUUGUAACCUGAAUCUCGUUUCCGCACUGACGAACGGGCCAAGGCACAACAAAAUCAACGUUGCAGGUCCGUGUCAUUCUUUUAGAGCAUUCCUGCUUUGGAUCUGGGACUGCUUCUGCAAGAUUAGAUCAUUUGCUCCCAUAUUCUGCUCCAGAAUUGCAGAUUUGAUUGGAAAUCUUUGUUUUGUUGAAAUACGGUGCCAAUUUUGCCAGCACGGAGAGACUUAACAAGCUCGCCGCCAAAAUCGUAGCCAGAACUUGAUCCAUUCUAUCCAGUAGUUGCUCAGUUACAGAUAUCUAUUGCUUGCUUCGUUCAGCUUGGCUAAUAAUCUGAUUUGUUUCAAUGAUAUAAAUUGAUGCGUACCGCUUUUGCCAGUUCCAGAAGUGGAGAGUUUUGUUCACGGCACAUGCUCUGUCAACCAAGUUGAAAACGAAGAUGUCAUUAAAUCUGUGCUACCACUUGCUGCAUCCAAUGGUUUCCAACUAGAAACUCCGUUCCCGAAAUGGCACCGCCGUGGUCUCCCCAAUGUCGAGGGCGGUAGGUGGCAUCCUCAAAUCUUAACAAAUGGUAUCCCAAUCACUACUGUUUUCUUCCCUUGCAACCGAAGGGAGCACUGCUGUGUUUUCUUCCCUUGCAACCGAAAGGAGGACAAAGAAGGCUUCUUCAUUGCUCUUGUUUUCUAGGUGGCGACCAAUCAGAGGUGCCUAACGGAACCGGCAUAGGCGCAGUACCUCCUCUCAUUCUGUUUAAAAUGCUAGACACACGGAACAUCGCGUAAUUCCAAACACACUUAUAUUACAAACUCUGUUUGAUUACGUUCAUAAAAUGCUCAGUUAUUUGAGUUA
Pyrus x bretschneideri (Chinese white pear) is the source of this 956-nucleotide long non-coding RNA. RefSeq lists it as uncharacterized. The record is from RefSeq and is a predicted model, not a curated record. NCBI's taxonomy places the organism in Eukaryota, Viridiplantae, Streptophyta, Magnoliopsida, Rosales, Rosaceae. The transcript is spliced from 3 exons.